GUCUAGACAUUGUCUACAUGGGCAGAGGUCUGGUGGCCAUGCUCGGGGUGGACGGGCUCGAAGGUUGACGGGGGAUCAAAUUACGAGACUGGAAUGCCGGACCACGCGAGGGACUCUAGAAUCACAGACAUCUGACCCUAAAGCUCGGCCACCUUUGUUGUCAAAGUAGUCACCUAACUGUUUGACUGCGACGACGAACGAGGUCUAGGUUCCCUCCGCCAGGCAUUCCCCAUCCCUUGACAAUAUGUCCCCGGCCUCCUCCCGAGAGUCUAAUCCAACGUCUCCAUCAACAUCUGAAACCCAGCAUCCUGUGAAGGAUCCACAGACUCGAUCGGAGUAUUGGGAAGAAGUUGGGAGGCGGACUCCUGAAGAACUAACUGGCUCCUCUCCACCAUCGUCGUCUGUUUGACAUAACAUAAAAUAUAAAUUGAAACCAUAAAAUAUAAAUUAAAACAUUCAUAUAAUAACCCUGAAACUUGAGUGCAUAACAUAAGAAUUAAAAUUAAAGAGUACUUACAUGAAGGGACUCGGCCAACUCAUUCCCAGGUCGAACAUAAACGUCGCCAAAGACGUUGAUCUCCGGGAAUUUGGACCCCCCUCCCUAAAUUGAACAAGAGAAUAAAAAUGUUAGUACGAAAAAAAAUAAAUUAAUAUUAAUGACAUAUUAAAAAUUGAAUAUAAACUAUUUUAUUAUUACCCGCCGCCGUGCAUCCAUCCUAUAUGAGAAGGGCCUAGAACCUGAAUUGUGGAGAAGAGUCUUCUUGUUCCUAUUGCCCUUAUUGACUUU
This 787-nucleotide long non-coding RNA is filed under the name Prunus persica (peach). RNAcentral describes it as "long non-coding RNA (PPER_LNC003255)". The record is from RNAcentral. Lineage: Eukaryota; Viridiplantae; Streptophyta; Magnoliopsida; Rosales; Rosaceae.